CAAGAGUGGCUGGUGUGCCUGGCUGGGGGAGCUAUAGGACCUCAGACAGCAGUGCUGGCAGAGGCUGGGGGGAAUGCGAAGGUGCUCUGAGCUGGCUGCUGGGGCUCCAUCAGGACAAGGCCCUGAGAUUGUGUGUGACAUGGCUGAAGGCUUGGGUAGCUGAAGACUCACGACAAAGCAGAGAGAAAGCGCAGGCACAUGCACUGAGACAUGGCGCUCGCAAGGGAAUGGAGCCCAGAACUAAAGAUACCACUCCACCUGAGGCCUCACCAGUGCCAAGUACAGUGGGACGAUUACCUCCCAUGUCUUACAUACAAUACUCCUAUUAAUACACCCUGGAAUAUUGGCUGUUUUUGCAACUGCAUCACACGUUAACUUAUAUUCAAUUUAUGAUAUACAAUGUCAUUCCUUUGGUUAUCCCCCUAGAGAAGUGUGUGUAUACUAGUUCAAACUGAGUUCUCCUGGGACCACAGACAAAGAGAGGAUUUGGGGAUAAAUGAACUGUGUUCAGACUGACUCGGGGCUUUCUUCCUGAUCCAGUAAAGAGACAGGACCCCUAGUCCAUGGAGGGCCCCAAUCCUUUGGGAAGGGUUGGAAGGACUGGACCUAGUCUGAGCUGAGGCUAUGAAAAUUUGUGACGACCAAAAAAAGCCCAUGUGU
Mauremys reevesii (Reeves's turtle) is the source of this 660-nucleotide long non-coding RNA. RefSeq lists it as uncharacterized. The record is from RefSeq and is a predicted model, not a curated record. The transcript has 3 exons. NCBI's taxonomy places the organism in Eukaryota, Metazoa, Chordata, Testudines, Geoemydidae.